GAACAAAGCGUACGGGGUCUGUUGAAAGAGCUUUCGUAAUGAAGACUGUCUUUCUCUUCGUCAUUCUGUCUAUUUCUAAACUGCUGUUUCUCAAAAACACGGAAGCAGACAACGAAGCCUGUCUCAUAAACACGCUCUUCCGAACGGUUUCUGAAUUGCAAGCGACUCUGAAGGUAUAUGUAUAUGCAUAAGGAAAACAUGCACAUGAAUACAUGUUUGCCCUCUAUGGCGUGUCGUUUCUGCCGAAACAAGUGACUAUAGCGACUAUUACUCAUCGUACAAGUGCAUAGUGACGUUUAGUCUAGGUUAGCUGUUUCUGUCAAAACAGUGUGUAAUGACGUUUGGUUCUAAAUUUGCAUUGUAGCAAGUGCCUAUUGAUGUUUGGUUAUAGAGUUAUACAUCAUAGCAAGUACUUAGUAACUGUUGGUUCUACAGUGCGUUUCAGUCCUCUGAAUUUUCAACUUAGCUUGCUAAAGAAAGGUCG
Molecule: long non-coding RNA, 484 nt
Organism: Corticium candelabrum
Lineage: Eukaryota; Metazoa; Porifera; Homoscleromorpha; Homosclerophorida; Plakinidae
Exons: 3
Source: RefSeq, a predicted model, not a curated record